CAGACUUCAGAGGUCUCACUGAAGUGUAUUAAUGUUUAGAUUUUAUCUUUAAAAUGCAUGGCUGUGAGCAAUCAAAUAAUAUAAUAAAAUAUAAUAACCCAUUUAGUUUCUACCAGUUUAUGUCUCGUGGCUCGCGCUGGGAGGUCCAAACUGGUCCACGCAGUGCGGUUAAAACCCGCCCGCUCCACGCUGUCCAGUGGCUUGCGCAGGGAUUUUGUCCGCGCUACGCGGUUCUUCUGUCGAACUCGGUUUGGAUCAACUUUUGAGUUGUUUGGCUUCCCAUAGUUAAGAAUCUCAAAUUGCGGUCAUAUACUGCUUAAAACUCCAGCACUCUAUAAUAAAACAUCCCCACGGAGCCCUGUAUCCCUGAUUGUUUUUUUUCCAGAGAAAAAUGGAACGAAAACGUUUCGUAAUAUAUAGGAUUGUAGGUUUACUGUGGGAAGAUGGAAGGUCUUCAUUAUGAUUAAUCCAGAUUUUUUUAUUAUUUCCUGAAGCUCUUCUCUGAGUUAAUGCAGUCUUUUCUCUCUGCUGUGUGGGACUGCCUCAUAUUGUCAUGCAUUAUAUAACGGGUGCCCACUGCCUUGGUCUUGUCAUCAUGGAGGCGUGAGUUGUGGAAAUUACCACGAAGGCAGGGAGUAAGCUCUUUCAGUUUCAUUUUCCUUUAUUUUUACUUUCCCAUAAAUUAUUCUAAGCCUGUGGUCACCCACCCUGGAUCUCAAGCCUGGAAAUCAGCUUUCCUUUCAAGUUCAGACACCUCAGAAGACGUGUACUAACUAACAAGCACAAGCUUUCCAUGCUUUACAAUGUGUCACAACUUUGUGCAGGGUGUUUUCUGGAGUCUAAUGAUAGACAGCGUAGCUUAAAAUAGAUUAAAUGAAAUAUUUCUAAAAUCAUGUUUAAGAAAGACAGCAUACUGUAAAGGAACAACUGAAAUCGGAGUUAAUCUACUGCCAGUGAAUCAUGAUAACCGGUGAUAUAGGCAUAUGUGGUAUGCUACUGAUUUUGCCUAGUGCAGUAUUUUGAAUGCACAUAUCGGCGACGCUAUAUAGACUAACGAAUGUGACAGCAGGAGCAUGACCCUUUUAUCACAAUUAGCACCGUUUGACACUGUAAUAUACAGUUGUGAAAGGGAAAUGACUCAUAAUCUGUUAUCACCCAGAAGAAAAUGGGUUUCUACUUUCAUGUUGAUACUGGUUUCUCUAAAGCUUUCUUACUAAUGUUUACUCAGGAAGUUUUCCCUUACCAAGGUUACCUCUGGCUUGCUCAUUUGGGAUCUAAAACUAUAUCCAUAUUUCUGUAAAGUUGCUUUGUGAUAAUGUGCACUGUUAAAAGCUGUAUGUAAAUAAAAUAUUUAAAAAAUCACUCAUCCAUUUACCCCGCUUUGUGCCCGACGCUCCCUGGGAUUGGCUCCAGGUUCCCCCACAAUCCUGAAGAAGGAGUAAGCGGUAGAAGAUGGAUGGAUGGCUGGAUGGACUCAUCCAUUUAUUGGUUGUUGUUAACCUGGGCUAACCAUAUCUUUAUAAACCUUGCUUUAUGUUCAAAGGCAUUGUCAGGCUGGAACAGAUUUCAGCUUGGUAUCUUAGUUCCAGUAAUGGGAAAUCUUAAUGUUACAGCAUACAAAGACAUUUCAGACAAUUCUGUGUACUUUGUAACAAUGCCUCAUUUUGAAGAAGGCCAACAUGUGGGUGUAAAUGUCAGGUGUCUACAUACUUUUGCUAUAUAGUCAACUUGCAGCAUCAAUAUAUUAUUUUCUGCCAUAGGUUUGGUACAGUUUGAAUCUUUAGUAUGUGUACUUAUGGAACAGUGUAACUUUGUAAAGAUUUGAGAGUGCACUUUGAUAGUGGGUGACAGUGUGUGUUACAGUGGGGUAAUAAUGAACUUUUGGAAUCACAGUAAGCAUAUUAUGAAUUAUCUGAGUAAAACAUGUACCUUACAUUAGUUCAUGUGGAUGGAGUUUUUUUUUGUUUUUUUAUACUUACUGGUUUCCAUGAGAACAAUAAAAAAUAGCUG
Molecule: long non-coding RNA, 2010 nt
Organism: Ictalurus punctatus (channel catfish)
Lineage: Eukaryota; Metazoa; Chordata; Actinopteri; Siluriformes; Ictaluridae
Source: Ensembl